Molecule: ribosomal RNA, 497 nt
Filed under: uncultured bacterium
Lineage: Bacteria
Description: partial 16S ribosomal RNA
Rfam family: Bacterial small subunit ribosomal RNA
Source: RNAcentral
GAUGAACGCUGGCGGCGUGCCUAAUACAUGCAAGUCGAGCGAACAGACGAGGAGCUUGCUCCUCUGACGUUAGCGGCGGACGGGUGAGUAACACGUGGAUAACCUACCUAUAAGACUGGGAUAACUUCGGGAAACCGGAGCUAAUACCGGAUAAUAUAUUGAACCGCAUGGUUCAAUAGUGAAAGACGGUUUUGCUGUCACUUAUAGAUGGAUCCGCGCCGCAUUAGCUAGUUGGUAAGGUAACGGCUUACCAAGGCAACGAUGCGUAGCCGACCUGAGAGGGUGAUCGCCCACACGGAAAGGGAGACGGGGCCGAGCCCCCGGGGGGGGGAAGAAGGAGGGAAUCUUCCGCAAGGGGGGAGGGCUGGACGGAGCACCGCGGGGGGAGGAAUGAGGGUCUACGGAUGAAAAAAUUUUUUUAUUAGGAAAGAACAAAUGUGAAAGUAACUAUGCUGGUCUUGACGGUACCUAAUCAAAAAGCCACGGCUAACUACGGG